ACUCCUACGGGAGGCAGCAGUAGGGAAUCUUCCACAAUGGGCGCAAGCCUGAUGGAGCAACACCGCGUGAGUGAAGAAGGGUUUCGGCUCGUAAAGCUCUGUUGUUAAAGAAGAACACGUAUGAGAGUAACUGUUCAUACGUUGACGGUAUUUAACCAGAAAGUCACGGCUAACUACGUGCCAGCAGCCGCGGUAAUACGUAGGUGGCAAGCGUUAUCCGGAUUUAUUGGGCGUAAAGAGAGUGCAGGCGGUUUUCUAAGUCUGAUGUGAAAGCCUUCGGCUUAACCGGAGAAGUGCAUCGGAAACUGGAUAACUUGAGUGCAGAAGAGGUAGAGGAACUCCAUGUGUAGCGGUGGAAUGCGUAGAUAUAUGGAAGAACACCAGUGGCGAAGGCGGCUACCUGGUCUGCAACUGACGCUGAGACUCGAAAGCAUGGGUAGCGAACAGGAUUAGAUACCCCUGGUAGGAUAGCC
RNAcentral lists this ribosomal RNA (473 nucleotides) under uncultured bacterium. RNAcentral describes it as "bacterial SSU rRNA". It matches the Rfam family "Bacterial small subunit ribosomal RNA", at positions 335 to 801 of the family's 1533-position model. The record is from RNAcentral.